UACUCCAUUGUGACCUCAUGGCCACUUAUCAUCAAAGUAAACUUCCUAAUUAAUGUGUCUAUAGCUACCAAGCUUUAAUUAUCUUUCACUUUAUUUAGAACAGAGUCUACCCCUACCCUCAGGAGGAGGAGGAAAAGAGCCAAGUGCACCAAUUUGUCUUGUCCUUUGUUUGUUCUUGGCAGACUUAAGUAAUGUUUUCCCCUGAAGAAAGUUCAAAUGAACAAAAGCUGGAAAGCCUUUUCUGUUUGACAACAACAAUGGCAAUUUUUCAUUGCUUGAAUUCAUAGCCUAGCCAUUAAGAAGAGUGAGGCAGUUGCCUCAGGUGGUGCAUGCUGGGUAAGACAAAUCACUGGAAGUGUCCCCAAACCAUGAAUCAGCUUGGACCCUGAUUCUCCUGAGCAAUAUGCUUUUCUGUCUCUAUCAACAUAAAGUUCUGGCUUCAAGUUAAAUGAAUAUUCAAGUGAAUGGACACUUGACAACCCUGAGUCACAAGCCCAGCUCUCCAGAAAAGGAAAUAACCUUUCAUUGCUGAGAUCCCAGGAGAGCCAAGUACAGACUUCAUGUUCAGAGUUUAAUAAAGGCAAGAUUUUUCUAACA
This is a long non-coding RNA of Anolis carolinensis (green anole), 597 nucleotides long. RefSeq lists it as uncharacterized. The transcript has 3 exons. The record is from RefSeq and is a predicted model, not a curated record. Lineage: Eukaryota; Metazoa; Chordata; Lepidosauria; Squamata; Anolidae.